Molecule: ribosomal RNA, 417 nt
Filed under: Enterococcus faecium
Lineage: Bacteria; Bacillati; Bacillota; Bacilli; Lactobacillales; Enterococcaceae
Description: partial 23S ribosomal RNA
Rfam family: Bacterial large subunit ribosomal RNA
Source: RNAcentral
UUGUGUGAAUACAUAGCACAUUCGAGGUAGACGCAGAGAACUGAAACAUCUAAGUACCUGCAGGAAGAGAAAGAAAAUUCGAUUCCCUGAGUAGCGGCGAGCGAAACGGGAAAAGCCCAAACCAGCAAGCUUGCUUGUUGGGGUUGUAGGACUCCAAUAUGGUAGUUCUUUCAGAUAGUCGAAUGACUUGGAAAAGUCAGUCAAAGAGGGUAAAAACCCCGUAGACGAAAUGUGGAAGACACCUAGGAGGAUCCUGAGUACGGCGGAACACGAGAAAUUCCGUCGGAAUCCGGGAGGACCAUCUCCCAAGGCUAAAUACUCCCUAGUGACCGAUAGUGAACCAGUACCGUGAGGGAAAGGUGAAAAGCACCCCGGAAGGGGAGUGAAAUAGAACCUGAAACCGUGUGCCUACAACAA